RNAcentral lists this long non-coding RNA (240 nucleotides) under Elaeis guineensis (African oil palm). RNAcentral describes it as "long non-coding RNA (EGUI_LNC072797)". The record is from RNAcentral. Lineage: Eukaryota; Viridiplantae; Streptophyta; Magnoliopsida; Arecales; Arecaceae.
UCCUACGAGAGCCGGGCUCCACCACCGACAUCGACUACAGGACAGCUCCGCCCGGACUCCUACGGGAGCCGGGCUCCGUCCUCAGCAUCAACCGCUGGUAGGCCUCGUCCGGACUCCUACGGGAGCCGGACCUCCCCUCUGACUUUAAUUGCAGGGAAAUUCCGCCCGGACUCCUACGGGAGCCGGGCUUCAUCCUCAAUUCCAACAGCUGCAAGCAACCUUCGUCCGGACUCCUACGGG